This 482-nucleotide ribosomal RNA is filed under the name uncultured bacterium. Its description in RNAcentral is "bacterial SSU rRNA". It matches the Rfam family "Bacterial small subunit ribosomal RNA", at positions 355 to 853 of the family's 1533-position model. The record is from RNAcentral.
UGGGGAAUCUUGGACAAUGGGGGCAACCCUGAUCCAGCCAUGCCGCGUGAGUGAUGAAGGCCUUAGGGUCGUAAAGCUCUUUCGCCUGUGAAGAUAAUGACGGUAGCAGGUAAAGAAACCCCGGCUAACUCCGUGCCAGCAGCCGCGGUAAUACGGAGGGGGUUAGCGUUGUUCGGAAUUACUGGGCGUAAAGCGCACGUAGGCGGACCAGAAAGUUGGGGGUGAAAUCCCGGGGGCUCAACCCCGGAACUGCCUCCAAAACUAUUGGUCUAGAGUUCGAGAGAGGUGAGUGGAAUUCCAAGUGUAGAGGUGAAAUUCGUAGAUAUUUGGAGGAACACCAGUGGCGAAGGCGGCUCACUGGCUCGAUACUGACGCUGAGGUGCGAAAGUGUGGGGAGCAAACAGGAUUAGAUACCCUGGUAGUCCACACCGUAAAACGAUGAAUGCCAGUCGUCGGCAGGCAUGCCUGUCGGUGACGCAGCU